RNAcentral lists this ribosomal RNA (1360 nucleotides) under uncultured bacterium. RNAcentral describes it as "bacterial SSU rRNA". It matches the Rfam family "Bacterial small subunit ribosomal RNA". The record is from RNAcentral.
UUAGAGUUUGAUCCUGGCUCAGAACGAACGCUGGCGGCGUGGAUAAGACAUGCAAGUCGAACGAGAGAAUUGCUAGCUUGCUAAUAAUUCUCUAGUGGCGCACGGGUGAGUAACACGUGAGUAACCUGCCCCCGAGAGCGGGAUAGCCCUGGGAAACUGGGAUUAAUACCGCAUAGUAUCGAAAGAUUAAAGCAGCAAUGCGCUUGGGGAUGGGCUCGCGGCCUAUUAGUUAGUUGGUGAGGUAACGGCUCACCAAGGCGAUGACGGGUAGCCGGUCUGAGAGGAUGUCCGGCCACACUGGAACUGAGACACGGUCCAGACACCUACGGGUGGCAGCAGUCGAGAAUCAUUCACAAUGGGGGAAACCCUGAUGGUGCGACGCCGCGUGGGGGAAUGAAGGUCUUCGGAUUGUAAACCCCUGUCAUGUGGGAGCAAAUUAAAAAGAUAGUACCACAAGAGGAAGAGACGGCUAACUCUGUGCCAGCAGCCGCGGUAAUACAGAGGUCUCAAGCGUUGUUCGGAAUCACUGGGCGUAAAGCGUGCGUAGGCUGUUUCGUAAGUCGUGUGUGAAAGGCGCGGGCUCAACCCGCGGACGGCACAUGAUACUGCGAGACUAGAGUAAUGGAGGGGGAACCGGAAUUCUCGGUGUAGCAGUGAAAUGCGUAGAUAUCGAGAGGAACACUCGUGGCGAAGGCGGGUUCCUGGACAUUAACUGACGCUGAGGCACGAAGGCCAGGGGAGCGAAAGGGAUUAGAUACCCCUGUAGUCCUGGCAGUAAACGGUGCACGCUUGGUGUGCGGGGAAUCGACCCCCUGCGUGCCGGAGCUGACGCGUUAAGCGUGCCGCCUGGGGAGUACGGUCGCAAGAUUAAAACUCAAAGAAAUUGACGGGGACCCGCACAAGCGGUGGAGUAUGUGGCUUAAUUCGAUGCAACGCGAAGAACCUUACCUGGGCUUGACAUGUAAUGAACAACAUGUGAAAGCAUGCGACUCUUCGGAGGCGUUACACAGGUGCUGCAUGGCCGUCGUCAGCUCGUGUCGUGAGAUGUUUGGUUAAGUCCAGCAACGAGCGCAACCCCUGUUGCCAGUUACCAGCAUGUGAAGGUGGGGACUCUGGCGAGACUGCCCAGAUCAACUGGGAGGAAGGUGGGGACGACGUCAGGUCAGUAUGGCCCUUAUGCCCAGGGCUGCACACGUACUACAAUGCCCAGUACAGAGGGGGCCGAAGCCGCGAGGCGGAGGAAAUCCUGAAAACUGGGCCCAGUUCGGACUGUAGGCUGCAACCCGCCUACACGAAGCCGGAAUCGCUAGUAAUGGCGCAUCAGCUACGGCGCCGUGAAUACAAACCCGGGUCUUGCACA